GGCAUCCAAGGGGAGAGGUAGGAUGGUCAUUUCACUGCUUCAUGUGAGAGGGUAUAAUUUCCCGUUUUAUAGCAUCUUUCAGCAGAAAACCGGAGAAGAACCAGAAAAAUCUGUGAAAAAUAGGGUGGGUCUUUUUAAUUUUCCACCGGUUCGACCACUAGGUAGCCUGGAUUUGAAAACUGUGGUUUGAAAUUUGAAUCUGAGGGUCUAGACUCUAGACGGUUCACCCGGUUUCGUAAACUCAGACCAGAUGUUGAAGUUUGCCAACCUAGAAAUAGAUCCAAGGAAGGAACCUUCAUCUUGGGCCGGCGGUUGAACUGUCGUACUACUGCGCGGCAAAGUAGUCGAGAACUCGAGAUAUGAAUCGUACUCGGCCAUAUGAAUUUGUAAACCCUAACCCUAGUUUUCCAUGUUUCAGUUCAUUGUAGAAGCGAAAAGGAUUCUGUACUUUUUGUUCAUAAGAGAAUAUAAUCGAAGAGAUGAUAUCUACUGCGGAGUUCCGAUCUGCAAGGUCUGCGACUUUUCAGUUGCUUCUUUGAGCUCAACUGCUUCAAAAAUUUCUUAUUGUUGAUUCAAAUGUUGCUCUUAAUCAGUUUUGAUUUUCAGAUUGACUUGUUGGAGAAUCCGGUGAUUGAUGAUGUCUAUGUGCUCUCGGUGGUUCUGGGAGAGGUGAAGGCACUUUUCAGAAAUUAUCUAAGGAGAUUCUUUGUCUUUUCCAAUAAGCACCAAAAGUAUAAAUGCAAUGGUCAACCCAGUUGCACAAUUAGGGGCGUUCAAAAACCUUAAGGAUAGUAUCAUUUUGAUACGACUCAACUCAAAUUCUGUUUGUUCCUAAUUCAAGAAGAAAGAUUUACCAUGAUGCUGUGAGUUCGUACAUCAUCCAUGUGCAAAUGCAACAUAUCCAGAUAAGUCUUGUACUCUGCCCUUGUUUAAUUUCUUACAGUUUUGACACAGAUUUUGUGGGUACUAAUGUACUAUUGCUAAUGCAAUCUGAAAAUCCGGAUUAUAAAUCUCAAAUGCAAGCAGACCCAAUGAUCAAAUGUAUGAUCAGAUCUGAGAUAAGGGAAGUAAAUGCAUUGUUGAAGAAAUUAAAUGGAUAGAAUGGGAGAGAAAAGAGAUGAGAUAGAUCUGGUUGGGAGGAAGAACAGAACGUAAGAAAUCAGGUGGGAGGGUAAAUUGUAUCAUCAGGACAUAUCGGAAGAGUGGGUCUGGUGAGAGGAAACCCAGAGCACCAGCAACCUUAACAACUCCAAUCCCAAUCACAGGAAGUAUCAAGUACCGCACUAAAAUGACUCCAAUGAUGAUCGAUGGCUUCAAAUUUGCUGAGUGAAGACCUGGUUAAACAAAACAAAUUAUAGUAACAGUACUUGUGUUCAAAUACAUGAUAUUCAAUUCAUUGGAAAAAGAUUUAAGAUCAAUAUUUUACCUUGGGUGAGGUUACCCCCAAGUACAAGGGUGAUGCUAGGAAUUGUGCCAUCCCUACACAGUUGGAUGUUUUUAUGUCAAAUAGAAGAACUAGAAUUCAACUGAGAAUUGAAGGAGAUGACAAUGACUAGCUCAAAUUGAUCAUUUCAGUUUUA
Long non-coding RNA from Macadamia integrifolia, 1580 nucleotides. RefSeq lists it as uncharacterized. The transcript has 4 exons. NCBI's taxonomy places the organism in Eukaryota, Viridiplantae, Streptophyta, Magnoliopsida, Proteales, Proteaceae. The record is from RefSeq and is a predicted model, not a curated record.